AACCGCUCUUUUGCUCUCAACUUUUCCCCACACAAAAAAGGAGAAGAAAAUAAUAGUGUUCAACCGCAAAAGAGAAUUUCAUUAUUUUUUGUGCAAAAGGCCGUUUUGAGAGGGGAAAGCCGGAAAGUGAAUACGAAAUGUCGGCUUGAUUUUUUUGUUUAUUUCGUAUAAGAUUUUAAAGUUGAUUUUUCGGUUACAAAGUGAGCGUUUUAACUCAACAAUGGACGAACAAAAAAUAAACAUUUGAUAUUUUACUAUUUCAGGUGUAACCUGUUUGCAAGAAUAACUGAUAUUAGACUAGUCUUGAAAGACGUAAAUUUACUCACCACUACUCGCAUCAAGCACAAGUUUGAAAGAGACAGAAUUAUUCAUGAUGUCUUCAUGAUGCCGGACCCUGGCACUCGAAGUGUAACCAACUUCAGACAACUCCGCAGCUCAUGCAUGGGCAUCAGCUGUCUGUUAGUUGGCUAAAUGACAGUCCAGAUUAUUGUUUACAAGAGUGCGGAAGCAUUUUACCGAGAGUAAAAGCGAAAAAAGAAAAUUAGUAAUGGAUUUCAUACGUAAUUUGAUCGCAUUAUAUUUUGCUAGAAAAUCACAACCAGCGAUUGUUCGUGAACUCGAGCACCGUAAAGUAAAUACAAUUUUUUUAUGGCGUAAUUUUUCGUUACAAUUAAACUGGUAGCAUCUCGAAACGUCAUGAAGGUGGACAUCAAAAGACUGCAACGUCACGUGAAAUGGUUCAAAAAGUGAAGAAGAGACUUGAGCCAAAUCCCCGACUAAGUGCCAAUCAAAUGGCGAAUGAACUGAAAAUAUCUGACUGAAUGCUAGCCGCAUACUGAAAAACGGUCUCAAAGUCAAGCCUUAUAAGAUCCAAAAGGCUCAUGAUCUCACACCAAAGCAGCAACAAGUCAGACUUGAGAGAGCGAAGGAGUUGCUUCGCUUGGCCGAAAGCGGUAAAUUUCCGAACAUUGUGUUUUCUGACGGGAAAAUUGUUCAAAUUGAGCAAUUCGUAAACUCCCGAAACGAUAGGGUUUAUUUGACCGACCGUUCAUACGAGAAUCUGAGUCAUCGAUGGCCACCAGGAGCCAGCAUCCGCCACAGGUAAUGGUUUUGACCGUUGUAAUCGCAGAUGGGCGCUCUUUAAUCAUGUUCAGCGAACCUGGCGUCAAGGUAAAUGCGAAAUAUUAACGGGAAAGUAUUCAUGGAGGUUGCUUUGAAGAUCAUGGAUCAUGGACGUUUCAACAGGACUCGGCACCGUCUCUCAAAGCUCGAGUGAACCAAAAAUGGCUAAAAAACAACGUUCCGAACUUCAUAAUGUCCACUCAAUGGCUGUGUAAUUCACCAGACACGAAUUAUUCUCUGUGUGCCAUUUUGGAGAGGAAGGUCCGAACUAAAAGAUUCACCAGUCUCGAAGCACUGUAAAAAGCUAUUGUCCGCGAGUGGACCAAAAUACCUGCAAGUCACAUUCGAUCAGCUUUCGAUUCGUUUCUGGACCGUCUCAAGGCCAUAGUCGAGCAAAAGCAUACUGAUUCUUAAUUUUGUAUUAUUUUCACACAUUUUUUACUUUGAAUUGAAUAAGAGUAGUUUUCCAAACUAAAUUUAAUUGGUUACACUUCGAGUGCCGAACCCUGCUUAAAGAGCAUUCUGUGGGGCCACGUACAUCCACAAUUGCUGCAAGAGAAGAAGAACUGGAAACUUAUUGUGAUAAUUCACGAAAAUCUGUUCGGCAAGCGUCAAGAGCGAUAGGCAUUUCAAAAUUGAUCAAAAUAGGUAUCAAUUUGAAUGUUUGCGCUGCUGACUAAAUAAGUAAAUUCUACAUUUAUCGCCUUUAAUUUGUAUUCACUAACCGAUUAAUUAUAAUAAAUAAUGAAAAAAAACCUGAGUACCCAAAACGGUAUGUAAAAAAUGAA
Anastrepha ludens (Mexican fruit fly) is the source of this 1910-nucleotide long non-coding RNA. RefSeq lists it as uncharacterized. The record is from RefSeq and is a predicted model, not a curated record. The transcript has 2 exons. NCBI's taxonomy places the organism in Eukaryota, Metazoa, Arthropoda, Insecta, Diptera, Tephritidae.